Long non-coding RNA from Juglans microcarpa x Juglans regia, 286 nucleotides. RefSeq lists it as uncharacterized. NCBI's taxonomy places the organism in Eukaryota, Viridiplantae, Streptophyta, Magnoliopsida, Fagales, Juglandaceae. The transcript is spliced from 2 exons. The record is from RefSeq and is a predicted model, not a curated record.
CUUGAAGAAGCUUUCUCCAUAUGGCCAAAAAUUUGCCUGCAAAUCAGUCGUGGUGUGGUUGGGAUAAGACGGCUCGCACACAAAACCAAGAAACAGAAAAAGGAACCUUGAACCCACCAUGUUAGAUCUUGUUUACUUUCUGGUAGAUUAGUUCAAUAUUUCUUGCGAAUGGCCGACCUAAUCGCAUGCGUUCAAGAUAUCAUGUCACAAACAACCAAAGUAAUGUAAUAAAUCACGACUUUCAUGGUUGUAAGACUAAUUAAUAUUCAGCAAUAUUUUAAGGAAA